GAUGAAGAACGCAGCGAAAUGCGAUACGUAAUGUGAAUUGCAGAAUUCAGUGAAUCAUCGAAUCUUUGAACGCAUAUUGCGCUCUUUGGUAUUCCGAAGAGCAUGCUUGUUUGAGUAUCAGUAAACACCUCAAAGCUUUUGGAUUUUUUAAUCGAAAAGCUUUGGACUUGAGCAAUCCCAACACCAAUCUUUUUGAGAUCGGUGGCGGGUUGCUUGAAAUGCAGGUGCAGCUGGACAUUCUCCUGAGCUAAAAGCAUAUUCAUUUAGUCCCGUCAAACGGAUUAUUACUUUUGCUGCAGCUAACAUAAAGGGAGUUUGACCGUAUUGGCUGACUGAUGUAGGAUUUCACAAGGGUCGGCAACGAUUCUUGUUAAACUCGAUCUCAAAUCAAGUAAGACUACCCGCUGAACUUAAGCAUAUCAAUAAGCGGAGGA
Molecule: unclassified non-coding RNA, 434 nt
Filed under: soil metagenome
Description: partial contains 5.8S ribosomal RNA, internal transcribed spacer 2, and large subunit ribosomal RNA
Rfam family: 5.8S ribosomal RNA (bases 1-120)
Source: RNAcentral